This 799-nucleotide ribosomal RNA is filed under the name uncultured bacterium. RNAcentral describes it as "bacterial SSU rRNA". It matches the Rfam family "Bacterial small subunit ribosomal RNA", at positions 8 to 811 of the family's 1533-position model. The record is from RNAcentral.
AGAGUUUGAUCCUGGCUCAGGAUGAACGCUAGCGGCAGGCUUAACACAUGCAAGUCGAGGGCAGCAUGAAGGUUAGCAAUAACCUUUGAUGGCGACCGGCGCAAGGGUGCGUAACGCGUGGCAACUUGCCCGUUUCUGGGGAAUAACCGGUGGAAACGCCGACUAAUACCCCAUGGCAUUAUUUCAGGCAUCUGUUAUCAAUUAAAGAAUUUCGGAAACGGAUAGGCUCGCGUGACAUUACUAGAUGGCGGGGUAACGGCCCACCAUGGCGACGAUGUCUAGGGGUUCUGAGAGGAAGGUCCCCACACUGGAACUGAGACACGGUCCAGACUCCUACGGGAGGCAGCAGUGAGGAAUAUUGUCAAUGGUCUGACGACUGAACCAGCCAUGCCGCGUGAAGGUGACGGCCCUAUGGGUCUUAACUUCUUUUGCAAGGGAGCAAUAAGGUCUACGUGUAGAUCGAUGAGAGUACCUUGCGAAAAGCAUCGGCUAACUCCGUGCCAGCAGCCGCGGUAAUACGGGGGAUGCAAGCGUUAUCCGAUUUAUUGGGUUUAAAGGGUGCGUAGGCGGUUUCUUAAGUCAGCGGUGAAAUUUAGGGGCCAACCUCUACCGUGCCGUUGAUACUGGGGAGGCUUGAAUGCGGAUGCCGUGGGAGGAAUGGUGGUGUAGCGGUGAAAUGCAUAGAUAUCACACAGAACACCGAUUGCGAAGGCAUCUCACAAUCCGCUAUUGACGCUGAUGCACGAAAGCGUGGGGAUCAACAGGAUUAGAUACCCUGGUGUCCACGCUGUAAACGAUG